This 205-nucleotide ribosomal RNA is filed under the name uncultured bacterium. RNAcentral's name for it is "partial 16S ribosomal RNA". It matches the Rfam family "Bacterial small subunit ribosomal RNA", at positions 524 to 728 of the family's 1533-position model. The record is from RNAcentral.
UACAGAGGUGUCAAACGUUGUCCGGAAUUAUUGGGCGUAAAGGGCGCGUAGGCGGCCGGGUAAGUGAGAUGUGAAAGCUCUGGGCUCAGCCCAGGAAUUGCAUUUCAUACUGCUCGGCUAGAGAUUGGUAGAGGAUGGCGGAAUUCCAGGUGUAGCGGUGAAAUGCGUAGAUAUCUGGAGGAAGGCCGGUGGCGAAGGCGGCCCC